CGGCUCAGUAACACGUGGAUAACCUACCCUUGAGACGGGGAUAAACCCGGGAAACUGGGUAUAAUACCCGAUAGAUCUCGACUGCUGGAAUGCAUCGAGCUUGAAAGCUCCGGCGCUCAAGGAUGGGUCUGCGGCCUAUCAGGUAGUAGUGGGUGUAGCGUACCUACUAGCCUACGACGGGUACGGGUUGUGAGAGCAAGAGCCCGGAGAUGGAUUCUGAGACACGAAUCCAGGCCCUACGGGGUGCAGCAGGCGCGAAAACUUUACAAUGCUGGAAACAGCGAUAAGGGGACCUCGAGUGCCAGGUUACAAAUCUGGCUGUCGUGAUGCCUAAAAAGCAUUGCAUAGCAAGGGCCGGGCAAGACCGGUGCCAGCCGCCGCGGUAACACCGGCGGCUCGAGUGGUAACCGUUAUUAUUGGGUCUAAAGGGUCUGUAGCCGGCCGGAUAAGUCUCUUGGGAAAUCUGGCAGCUUAACUGUCAGGCUUUCAGGAGAUACUGUCUGGCUCGAGGCCGGGAGAGGUGAGAGGUACUUCAGGGGUAGGGGUGAAAUCUUGUAAUCCUUGAAGGACCACCAGUGGCGAAGGCGUCUCACCAGAACGGACCUGACGGCAAGG
This 615-nucleotide ribosomal RNA is filed under the name uncultured Methanosaeta sp. RNAcentral's name for it is "bacterial SSU rRNA". It matches the Rfam family "Archaeal small subunit ribosomal RNA", at positions 83 to 702 of the family's 1478-position model. The record is from RNAcentral. Lineage: Archaea; Methanobacteriati; Methanobacteriota; Methanomicrobia; Methanotrichales; Methanotrichaceae.